Molecule: RNA transcript, 1655 nt
Organism: Seriola dumerili (greater amberjack)
Lineage: Eukaryota; Metazoa; Chordata; Actinopteri; Carangiformes; Carangidae
Gene: lrrc57
Gene name: leucine rich repeat containing 57
Exons: 6
Source: RefSeq, a predicted model, not a curated record
AGGACGUGACGUAUAUAUAUCCGGUGUUCCCAUUGGCUCACACAGUGGAGCCGUUCAGUCCUUCUCAGGGCGUCUCCACCCUCACUUUGCUGCUCUAACUAAAAACUACAAACUACAAACUACACACUAUGCGACAAACUACACACUGUGCGUGACGACACUGCGCCGAUUGCUUUGAUGUAAGUACAACUGUUUCCGGUGUGUUGAGUUGUUUUUGUUGCGGCUAGCAGGCUAACCUUCAUGCUAACCUCAAUGCUAACGUAGCUUCACACUGGACCGAACUCGCCACGGUCACGUUAACCGCACUGUGACGAGUGUGUUGGUUUGCUCGCUCGCUGCUGGACCCAGCCGGGGCUGGUCGGUGUCUGAGGAGCUAACGCAGCUAGUUGUUAGCAGAUUCACAGACUCAUCUCAUUAACAGCGACAGGAGCUCCUUUAAACCCGUCAGCUGAUCCCGGGACUUGGACUAAUACCGACCACAUCCGGUCUGGAUAUGACCUCGGGUGGAGUCUUCCCGCUGUAGGCAGACGGUGGAGGAGCAUCUCACCCUCAGGGGCCAUAGUUCAUUACCCAGUCGGGCUCGAACAGACAGGUUGACAGGUAGAGGUGCACCUGGCCGCAGGUCCACAUGGGGAACAGCGCGCUCAAGUCUCACCUGGAGACUUCCCAGAAGACCGGGGUGUUCCAGCUGACAGGAAAAGGACUGCAGGAGUUUCCAGAGGAGCUGCAGAGACUCACCAGUAACCUGAGGACGGUGGACCUGUCCGGGAACAAGAUCGAGGUUCUUCCUGCCGCCAUUGGAAACUUCCUGCAGCUCAAGAGUCUGACGCUCAACUGCAACAAACUGACCAGUGUUCCCAGUGAGAUCGGGAAGCUGAAGAAGCUGGAGACCCUGAGUCUGAAUGGGAACCGGAUCCAGCAGCUGCCCCCCGGUCUGGGCCAGCUCAAAGCCCUGCGGACCCUCAGUCUGGCCGGGAACCAGAUCUCAGAGUUCCCCCCCGGACUGGCGACCCUGAGGCAACUGGAUCUGCUGGACCUGUCCCGAAACCAGAUCCAGAACGUCCCUGAGCAUGUGUCUGAGCUGCAGGCUAUCGAGAUCAACCUCAACCAGAACCAGAUCUCGGUGCUGUCGGCGGAGGUGUCCCGGUGUCCUCGUCUGAAGGUCCUUCGUCUGGAGGAGAACUGUCUGGAGCUGUCAUCCAUCCCUCUGUCCAUCCUCUCCGACUCCCAGGUGUCUCUGUUCUCUGUGGAGGGAAACCUGUUCGAGGUGAAGAAGCUCCGAGACCUGGAAGGAUACGACAAGUACAUGGAGCGAUUCACAGCCACUAAGAAGAAGUUUACCUGAUGACCCUCUGUGACGAGUCAGUCGGAGAUGUGGUCAGCCCAGACUCCGCCCAACCCCCCCGCCCCCACAGCUGCUUCUUCUUCUGCUAAAAACCGGAUGUCACAGCUCAGUACUACUCACAGCGCCCCCCAUCUGCUGGACCACUAGUGAGACCUGCUGCUGCUGCAGGUCUGAGGACAUUUAACAGAACACAGGUUUGAUCCAGAGGACACGACGUCUCCUUUUCUUUAUGUUGACCGGGGCUGCAGCCAAUCAGAUUCACCUGAUUCUGUAUUUCCUGAUUGAUUGAUUGAUUGAUUGAUUGAUUGAU